CACGUAGGCGGGCUGCUUAGUCGGUAGUGAAAGCCCUCAGCUCAACCGAGGAAUUGCUCCCGAAACUGGUAGCCUUGAGGACAAGAGGGGAGAGUGGAACUUCUGGUGGAGCGGUGAAAUGCGUAGAUAUCAGAAGGAACACCGGUGGCGAAAGCGACUCUCUGGCUUGUUUCUGACGCUGAGGUGCGAAAGCGUGGGUAGCAAACA
Molecule: ribosomal RNA, 207 nt
Filed under: uncultured bacterium
Lineage: Bacteria
Description: partial 16S ribosomal RNA
Rfam family: Bacterial small subunit ribosomal RNA
Source: RNAcentral